This is a long non-coding RNA of Gordionus sp. m RMFG-2023, 926 nucleotides long. RefSeq lists it as uncharacterized. The transcript has 4 exons. The record is from RefSeq and is a predicted model, not a curated record. Lineage: Eukaryota; Metazoa; Nematomorpha; Gordioida; Chordodea; Parachordodidae.
AUUUUUUUAUAAGGUAUUUGCAAAAAAAUAAUGUUUAUCUUUUCAUGUUGGAAGGUUUAAAUUUUGUUUGUCCAACUUUGAAUGUGCAGAACAUUGAAUUCUAUCAAUAGAAUUUGAUGAAAUCUGCGAAAAACAUUGAUAAAUUGCCAAAACAAAAAGGGUAUCAGUUCAAUUGGGACACAGUACAUAAUGGGAUUCUAAUAUAUGGAUUAUUGAUAAUAUGCAUUUAAAAAAUGCCCUUUUGUGGACCGACCAUAGUUUAAGUCUAAUCCGAUUCCGAUUCGACCAAACUCGGAUUAUGUCUCAUUCUAGAUCGAUUUCGCGAAGAAUAUUUACAAAACACAGCAUAUUUUAUAUAAUAGCCGUGAAUUCGCACAAACUAUGAGUCCAGGCAAAACUAUGUCUAGCUCUUGUUUCAAAUCAUCUAAAGUUGAUAUCGAUGUCUGUCGUUGUUUCCAUAGAGACAUAUGCCGAGACAUUCUCUUAUCCACAACUCCCAUGAUUUUCCUUCCUAUCUUUUUGUUUGGUUCUGUCAAUAGCUGUCUACGUUGUAUCAAUCCAUUAAGAGUCGUGAUGGAGGUCUUGGAAGUUAUCUUCUCGUCUAUACCUGAGGGUUUGGUUGGUACCGAAGCGUUGACCUCAUUAUUUUGUUUACGAAUAUUUGAUAAAUCGUUCAUUUUUUUUUGCUUUGGGUCCGCAUCGUCUGGAUUUCCAUUCCCGUUUAAUUCAUCAACUUUCCCUUUAUCCGCUAAUUUAUUUUGUCCUGUGGACAUAAUUUUUUUUCUUCCUUAAAAAAAUUAUAACAUUUUCAAGGUUUAAAACUCUUCUAAUUUUAAAAGAGUAAUUAGAGGAUGAAUUUAAUUAUACUAGUUGUAUAAUUCUGAUUUGAAUUAUUUUAAAAAAAAACAUUAAUAACAAUCAUUUUA